UACAGAGGGGGCAAGCGUUGUUCGGAAUUACUGGGCGUAAAGGGCGCGUAGGCGGCCGCCUAAGUCAGACGUGAAAUCCCUCGGCUCAACCGGGGAACUGCGUCUGAUACUGGGUGGCUUGAAUCCGGGAGAGGGAUGCGGAAUUCCAGGUGUAGCGGUGAAAUGCGCAGAUAUCAGGAGGAACACCGGUGGCGAAGGCGGGUCUCUGGGCCGAUACUGACGCUGAGGAGCGAAAGCGUGGGGAGCGAACAGG
This 253-nucleotide ribosomal RNA is filed under the name uncultured bacterium. RNAcentral's name for it is "partial 16S ribosomal RNA". It matches the Rfam family "Bacterial small subunit ribosomal RNA", at positions 524 to 776 of the family's 1533-position model. The record is from RNAcentral.